UCCUCCCUCUUUCUUCGUGCUUAACACAUGCAAGUCGAACGGUGAAGGGGCCUGCUUUUGUGGGCCCUGGAUGAGUGGCGAACGGGUGAGUAACACGUGAGUAACCUUCCCCCUUCUUCUGGAUAACCGCAUGAAAGCGUGGCUCAUACGGGAUAUUCUGGUUCUGUCGCAUGAUGGGUCUGGGAAAGAUUGCGCCUUUGGGUGUUUUUGGUGGGGGAUGGGCUCGCGGCCUAUCAGCUUGUUGGUGGGGUGAUGGCCUACCAAGGCGGUGACGGGUAGCCGGCCUGAGAGGGUGGACGGUCACACUGGGACUGAGACACGGCCCAGACUCCUACGGGAGGCAGCAGUGGGGAAGAUUGCACAAUGGGCGCAAGCCUGAUGCAGCGACGCCGCGUGAGGGAGGGAGGCCUUCGGGUUGUAAACCUCUUUCGCCAGUGAAGCAGGCCUGCUCCGUGUGGGUGGGUUGACGGUAGCUGGAUAAGAAGCGCCGGCUAACUACGUG
RNAcentral lists this ribosomal RNA (502 nucleotides) under uncultured bacterium. RNAcentral's name for it is "partial 16S ribosomal RNA". It matches the Rfam family "Bacterial small subunit ribosomal RNA", at positions 36 to 507 of the family's 1533-position model. The record is from RNAcentral.